This 215-nucleotide long non-coding RNA is filed under the name Mytilus galloprovincialis (Mediterranean mussel). The record is from RNAcentral. Lineage: Eukaryota; Metazoa; Mollusca; Bivalvia; Mytilida; Mytilidae.
UUUUAUUUAUGCUAUACUGAUAUUGAAAGUGUAUAUUUUUUCUUAUUUUGCUGUCUUUUUUAAAUUGAUAGUAGUUAGCAACAAUAUGACAUGAGUGUGACAUGAGUGUAUUAAUAAUUCAGCUGUGGUUAAAAAAAAAUGUCUGAAAAAAUUUACGAUACUGGUAGUCUAAAAAUUCUUCUAAGAUGAAAUAAUCUGAGUAUAAUUGAACACUG